AGGCCUAGGGGGUGGCAGGCUGGCCACCAGUGUGGGCUAACCCUGUCCUCUCCCUCCCAG
Molecule: microRNA precursor, 60 nt
Organism: Cebus imitator (Panamanian white-faced capuchin)
Lineage: Eukaryota; Metazoa; Chordata; Mammalia; Primates; Cebidae
Source: Ensembl